AAUAAUAUAUGAUACAAAACAUUUUAAAUACUGUUAUACAUCAAUAACUAACAACCUCUAAUCUUAAGGCCUCACAACCACAAGUCUAUUUCUUGCUGACAUUACAUGUCUUUCACAGUUGACUACAACUCCAUGUCACAUCCUCUUCAUUUUGUGAUCCAGGGUGAAGGAGCUGCCUUUAUCUGUAAUGUUGUCAUUCUUGUGUCAGAGGAAAAAGAGAAGACAAUGAAAACAUGAGACUCAAAGCUUCUGCUUCAUAGUGUCACUGAAACUGAAACUAUGUCAGGCAGCCAGCUCCGCUGCCACCAAUACAGUUUCCUCCGGUCCACAAAGGUGCUGAUCGUUUGCUGGAAUACCGAGACCAGGCAAAUUUGGUUCUUGGCCGCCACCACAGCAGCAGGAUGGAGUUUCCUUCUCGUUUCCAUUCUCCUGCUCCUCCCCUGUAAUUCAGAAGGGAACAGAGAAGCAUGUGAGAAUGAAUGUCAAGUGGCAGACAAUAACAAAUACAAGUAGCUAAGAAUCAGCUUAAUAAGAAAUGUGCAAAGACCCUUAUGAAGAAAACUAAAAUACUGUUUAAGGGCACCAGAGGAGACCUGAACAAAUGGGAAAACAUCCCAUGGUUUUGGAUCAGAAGACUCAGCAUUAGCUCUUUCUCUGGUUACCAUGUCCUGAGCUUCUUUCUUCCACCACACUCUUCUACCAUGAUGUUCAGCCUCAUCUCUGGCCCAGAGCAAUGAAGUCGGCUGAUUAUGGACUGAACCUCUGAAACUGUAAGCCAAAAUAAACUUCUCCUUCUCUAAGAAUAAAGGACUCAGCAUCAAAAAGAGGUCA
Marmota flaviventris (yellow-bellied marmot) is the source of this 831-nucleotide long non-coding RNA. RefSeq lists it as uncharacterized. Lineage: Eukaryota; Metazoa; Chordata; Mammalia; Rodentia; Sciuridae. The record is from RefSeq and is a predicted model, not a curated record.